CCUACGGGAGGCAGCAGUGGGGGAUAUUGCACAAUGGGGGGAACCCUGAUGCAGCGACGCCGCGUGGGUGAAGAAGCGCCUCGGCGCGUAAAGCCCUGUCAGCAGGGAAGAAAAUGACGGUACCUGAAGAAGAAGCCCAGGCUAACUACGUGCCAGCAGCCGCGGUAAUACGUAGGGGGCAAGCGUUAUCCGGAUUUACUGGGCGUUAAGGGGGCGCAGACGGCGAUGCAAGCCAGGAGUGAAAGCCCGGGGCCCAACCCCGGGACUGCUCGUGGAACCGCGUGGCUGGAGGGCAGGAGGGGCAGGCGGAAUACCUGGUGUAGCGGUGAAAUGCGUAGAUAUCAGGAGGAACACCGGUGGCGAAGGCGGCCUGCUGGACUGCAACUGACGUUGAGGCCCGAAAGCGUGGGGAGCAAACAGGAUUAGAUACCCGAGUAGUC
Molecule: ribosomal RNA, 440 nt
Filed under: uncultured bacterium
Lineage: Bacteria
Description: partial 16S ribosomal RNA
Rfam family: Bacterial small subunit ribosomal RNA
Source: RNAcentral